AUGCACGCUGGCGGCGUGCCUCAUACAUGCCAGUCGCGCGAACAGACGAGGAGCUUGCUCCUCUGACGUUAGCGGCGGACGGGUGAGUAACACGUGGAUAACCUACCUAUAAGACUGGGAUAACUUCGGGAAACCGGAGCUAAUACCGGAUAAUAUAUUGAACCGCAUGGUUCCAUAGUGAAAGACGGUUUUGCUGUCACUUAUAGAUGGAUCCGCGCCGCAUUAGCUAGUUGGUAAGGUAACGGCUUACCAAGGCAACGAUGCGUAGCCGACCUGAGAGGGUGAUCGGCCACACUGGAACUGAGACACGGUCCAGACUCCUACGGGAGGCAGCAGUAGGGAAUCUUCCGCAAUGGGCGAAAGCCUGACGGAGCAACGCCGCGUGAGUGAUGAAGGUCUUCGGAUCGUAAAACUCUGUUAUUAGGGAAGAACAAAUGUGUAAGUAACUAUGCACGUCUUGACGGUACCUAAUCAGAAAGCCACGGCUAACUACGUG
Molecule: ribosomal RNA, 496 nt
Filed under: uncultured bacterium
Lineage: Bacteria
Description: partial 16S ribosomal RNA
Rfam family: Bacterial small subunit ribosomal RNA
Source: RNAcentral